CAAGGGAUUUUGAAGGAGCUAAAAGUUGUGGUGCUUGUUGAUUCCUCUGUCCUGUCCUCUCCACCCCAACCGGUCGAGGCAGAUGG
Molecule: long non-coding RNA, 86 nt
Organism: Melanotaenia boesemani (Boeseman's rainbowfish)
Lineage: Eukaryota; Metazoa; Chordata; Actinopteri; Atheriniformes; Melanotaeniidae
Exons: 3
Source: RefSeq, a predicted model, not a curated record